AUGAAUACCGGGCGGAGACCUCCGAGUCCGCCGGCGCCCUCGCGAGGGACCGAGGCCUGCUGAUCUUGAACGAGUGCAAGCAUGGAGAGGCUGCUGGCUGAUGACGGACUCCCUCCCUCUCUCUCUCUCUCUCUCUCUCUCUCUCUCUUCAUGCUCUCUCCCACGUCUCUGCUGCUAGGCAGCUCUCUGUCGUAGCCAUAGCCUGUGGACUAAGCAAGAAAGUUUUCUACUGGGUUGUCUACCGGAGAUUGUAAGAGGGAGGAGCGUCUCAUUCCACAGCCGUUGCUAGGAGUUUGACCGGUCGUCGCUGUCCAGAUUGAUUACGUCACCUUUACGCGCUCUGCCUCGUUUGUCCCGAUAGUCCGAGCGGUGGCCGGGUUUAUCCCUUCCGGCUUUGAGUCUGGAUGCCGCGGUUCCUGCGCCGUUGACCACCGCAAUGGAGGCGGUAGGGGAAGGGAGCCGCACCAAGGCGAGCUUGGUGGGAGCGAUCAUGGGGGUGAAGCGUCUGUCGGGGAAGACGUACGGGCAGAUAGCGGCGGAGACGGGCCUCACGAACGUGUACGUGGCCCAGCUGCUGCGGCGGCAGGCGCAGCUGAAGCCCGGGUCGGCCCCUGCGCUGAAGGCGGCGCUGCCGCAGCUCUCCGACGAGAUGUUGGAGGAGAUGAUGAGACCGCCCAUGCGUUCCUACGAUCCCAAUCUCAUCCAGGAGCCGUCCGUUUACAGGUCUCCCUUCUCCCUCCCUCCUUCCCUCCCCGCCGUUGUUCAUCUAUUUCUCAUCCCGUUCAUCUCUUCUCCGAUCCGAUUUUUCUCCGGAAAUUGCGAACCAUGAAUUCGAAUCCUCAGAUCGAUGCUACGAAACUUGUUGCCGUGAUUCUUGUUCCUCAAUCUUCGUGUUGAGUGACUGAUCUUGACGCCGCGAAAUCAUACGCCUUUUCUUGAAGAUUGAACGAGGCCGUGAUGCACUUUGGGGAGAGCAUCAAGGAAAUCAUCAACGAAGAGUUUGGCGACGGCAUGUAAGUCACCACUGUGCCCUUUCCAUCUUCGUCGCAUGAACAUCGACGCAUUCAGCUGAUUCUCCGGCCCUUCCUCAGUUCAGCCGAGCAUCCGCUCUUGAAUGUAGUUGAACGUUGAGGAUCGCGCGCAUUUUUCCUGAUCCCUGUGACAUAAUCGUCGGAUUUUUCUUUUUUCUUUUAAAUUAUUUUUCAUGUGGGCAGAUACUUUUUUUAGACCACACUGAGAGCCCGGGCUGAGGCCGCCUCUGCCGAAUUCCUCCUGCUCCAGGUUGCUCAUCUGGUCAAACGAUGCUUCAUUGAAUAAAUUAUUCGAAUCCUACUCAUGAGUUACUCAUUGACUCCGGAUGUAUAUAGACUUGAGAUAUUUUUAUUCCGAAUUUGCAAAUGUGGGUAGAUAGAUAGAUAGAUACACUCUUCCAGUUGAUGCCCAAGUCCCAUAUUUAGAACAGAUUGAGAGCCCAGGCUGAGGCUUCUCCCGAGGUCACCGGGGAUGAAAAAUAGUCUCCUCUGAUCGAAAUUACGCCAACGGAAGGCUGGUUGACUUGUUUUUCAUCCGACAUGUUGAGAAGCCGACCAUGAUCCUUAAUAUAAUUAGGGCGCCAAAUGGGGUUUUUAGGAGCUAAUUAGGCCUUAAUCUGGAAUCGGGUCUACCUCAAAAAAAUUUCUUUUUGUGGUGGUUAUUCCACGUGUGAUUUUAUCUUCUUUUUUUUUAUUGCUUUCCAAAAUCGGCAGCAGUGGUUGCAUGGGGAUUUCCUCUAUCUGGUCGCCCUCCUCCUCCUUGUUACUCUUAUUACUCUCUCUCUCAUUUCUAAGCUUCUCUCUCCUGCUGCUGCCUGCAACCGGGUGAUGGUGGGGACUGCCCGUGCAGAUUUCUUGACCAUCCCACGGCCAUGGGUUGACCACGAUGUGGCCAACAGAUCCAUGAGUGGGGCCGGAUCCCUUCUACUCUGGAUCUCUCAUGCCAGUUCCGUUCUGGUUUGACCCAUUCAUAUCUGGAUACCUCAAUCCCACGAAUCAAAGUAUGUCCAUAUAUUUAUAUUCAUACAUUGAUUAGGUGCUAAAAAAAAAAUGGCAGCUGCUUCAUAUGUGCCUACUGAUGGGCCUUCCCAGCAUCAAUAAGAGAAAUAUUAUCACCCAUUGUUACGGAGUUGAGUGGAUCUACUUCUCCUCACUAGAGUUCAGUAGAUAUUGAUCUUCCUUUAUUAUUAUUAUUUUUUCUAUUCUUAUCUGUUUGACCGGCAGUUAUUUUCUCUUCAGAAUGUCGGCCAUUGACUUCUUCUGCUCCGUUGAUAAAGUCAAAGGGGUCGACGGGAAAGACCGUGUGGUUGUCACAUUUGAUGGCAAGUACUUGCCAUACAGCGAGCAGGUCAGCAGGCCUUUCUUCCAUGGCUGCCACCUUACCAAGAUCACGGAGAACCAUUGCUCACCAUUGAUCAGAAGAUGGCUGAAAAUCAAUAUUUGAUAAUUAUUUCCGUGGGUUCACUGGAGUUGACUUUUUUCCUGCAGCUGUCCGAGCACAUGGUCUCCAGGCCGAGGCAGUAGCCGACUCCUCUGCUGACUUUCAACGCUUCAAUAAAUGUGGCUGGAACGAAACUUUGUAAUGCCCAUGUAUUUUUAUUAAACAGCUGGUUGGUUCAUCGGGUAAUGUCUUCCAAGCGUCUCUGUCUCUGUCUCUGUCUCUGUCUCUGUCUCUCUCUCCUCCCCCCCCUGCCGAGGGUUCAUGCCGGGAUGGGCUGGGCCGCUCUUAUUGGGCUGCUACGUUAGGGCUUUUGUUUGGCCGGAUUAUGGGCUAUGUUCUUCUAUGGUUGUUAAGUCACUACUUUGGUGGGCCACCUGUGUGAGGCCCAUUAACAGAUGAGCCCAGUGAGGGCUCAGAAAAUAUCUGCCGGUUAUGUCCCUGAAAUAAAACACCUCCUUAACCCCUAGUGGCGGUGAGCCUCUCCCCAUCCUGCCGGGUUCGACCUACAAACCCUCGCGUGCUCUCCCUGUCGCCCUCUCUCGAUCUCUCCUGCUCGACGGCAAUGGCCGCCGCCGCCAUGGCCCGGGCCAUCGUCGCCGCCUCCGCCGCCACCGCCUCCGCCGCUGGAGCCCCGCGCUUCCCCGUCAAUCUGUUCCUCUCCAAGCGCUUCUUCUUCGCCGGCUCUUCCGCCGGCGCGUGCCCUUUCACGGGCCUGGUCCGGCGUCGCUCUGCUUCAACGUCCUCGCCGCUCACUCACGCUGUCCGAGUCCUGGCUUCUCCGGGGGCUGCCAGGCUCAAUCAGAUCAGGUGCAGGGUCAACCGGCCCGGGGACUCGGGGUAUUCUCCGUUGAACUCGGGCUCGGGCUCGGGCUCCGGCUACAGUGAUCGGCCGCCCACCGAGAUGGCGCCGCUCUUCCCCGGGUGCGACUACGAGCACUGGCUCAUCGUCAUGGACAAGCCCGGCGGGGAGGGUGCCACCAAGCAGCAGAUGAUCGACUGCUAUAUUCAGACCCUUGCCAAGGUCCUCGGCAGGUGCGGUCAUUUGGGGACUUGUAUCUGCCAGUGUUUUUCUUCCUUCCCCUUCAACCUUUACGAUAUUUAGGGUUUCUGAUGGUUAGUUUUGCCGACAUGCUGGGCGACCGCGGCUGCUUUUCUUCGUCCUCGGGGUCUCUGUCACCUCCUGCGUUCUGCCCUGUGUUUGCUGUUUGUCGACGCCUUUUUAUUAGAUUAGGGCAGGGCUUGAUCGGAGCUUUCUAGGAUGCCUGGUUUGGAGUUUCUAGGAGCUAUCGUCCUAGUUCCUCUUUCAGGAGCAGGGAGCCUUGCUGCUAAAAUUUAUGCGCCUAGUUAACUUUGUUUCCUGAAUGGUGCACCAGUGAAGAGGAGGCUAAGAAGAAGAUCUACAACGUCUCCUGCGAGCGGUACUUUGGAUUCGGAUGCGAAAUUGACGAAGAGACGUCGAAUAAGCUCGAAGGUUCUUGCUUUCUUUCAAUAAAUGAUCUUCCCCCAUCUCCUCGAAUGCCACAGACUCCGAUCUUCACCUGUGGGAUAAUCCCGUUGUUAUAUUUAGCAUGAUGGGUCCUUUUUUUUUUCCUCGUUCCAUCUGAUCGGGUUGCGCAUCUGAUUCCUAUCGUGCUCCGACGAUAAUGGAUGGAUUUUCCAGUCUGAUGUGAGUUUUCUUUACAAUUUGUUCAGGGCUCCCGGGUGUUCUCUUUGUUCUUCCUGAUUCUUAUGUCGACCCGGAGAACAAGGACUAUGGGGGUAAGCGCAUCAACCCGAAUGCCAAGGCAACCAUUUCUGGCCUUCUUCUUUGGCUGGCUUGAGCACGCAUCCUUUUUCACGGCGCCAGCAAGCUCGAUAUUUCUUUUCAUCCCCUUUUCGUUCUGUCUUGGUUUUUACACUUGUUCGCGCUUGUUGCAUCUCUCUCUGAAACCUUCCGCUCAGCCUGAGAAGAGCAUGCGGCUCUCUCUCCACCCAGUCGGCAGCGGCUGGCCAUGGCUUUAAGAUUCAACACACCGAACACACACACUCGGACUCCCUUCCAGUCAUGUUCUGACGACUAGAAGAACGCUCUUCACUCCCCUAGGAUGUACUGGUGGCGAUGGUGAACUUGCCCUCUCCUUUUUGGCUCUGCCCUUCCCCUGGGAUGCUCCAUUAAUUGCCAGCUAGCUGAGAUGGAUGAAGCGUGCUUUCAAUGGGAACUCAUCUUUUCUUUUCUUUUUGCCCAACAUUCACGGCUUGGAUUCCAGGCAGCCGGGUUGAAUCCAUUGCGGACCCCGCAUGCUCUUCUCAUCCAAGCUCCUUCAUUUCUGUUUCCUUGCUCUUUUUUGGGGUGGGGGAAGGGGGGAGGCCGGUUAAGCCCUGGAACACAAAGAGCAGCUAGAGCAUCUGUGUCUGAAGAAUCUCUCAGAUGGGGUCAACGGGAUCCAGUAAGCGUAAUCCUUCACCUGGAUGGAUGAACAUGGUGGGUGCCUCACUUGGAGAGUAAAUUCCUGCACGAAGCUCACUCAAUUGGAAUGACUCUUGAAGAACUGCCUGCUCCUCCCUCAUCCACACGCUUUCUUUGACUGGGCCGAUGACUGCUGCCGCUUUCCUGUUAGUAAGUUGGAUGGAUGGAUGGAUGGAAUUAAUGGAUGAGCUCUCUUUGUUUUGCUCUGUGGCGCAGCGGAGCUGUUCGUCAACGGGGAGAUCGUGCAGAGGUCGCCGGAGAGGCAGCGGAGGGUGGAGCCGGUGCCGCAGCGAGCCCAGGACCGGCCCAGAUACAACGACAGGACCCGCUACGUCCGGCGGAGGGAGACCCAGCGAUGAGAGAGGCACACACAGAACCCAUCAUCCACCAUAGCCUCUCUCUCUCUCUCUCUUCUUUCUCCCUCUUCUAUCUCUGCAACUAGACGUGGAAGUCCCCUGUUUUGUGCCGUUGACUUGUGGACCUCUCCUCUCUCACCGAGCGUCGUCUCCGUGGACUUUUCUCUCUGUGGUAGCUCCACCCCACCCCCAUAGGGAACUGGGUUGUAAUUCUGUAUGAAAAACGGGCCGUAGUUGGCGUCAGCCAUCCCGCAGGGCGGCCCGGGCCCACUUCAUCACACACGCGUCCUCUCUCUUUUUGUCUUUCUAUGUGGGACCUACAUCGACGUGGAUGGCCUGCGGGCUCGGUCAUCCUCAGUUGGUCGCCGACGGCCCCACCGAGGCGCAGUUUCGGGGCCUUUCUCGACGAUGACUUCUCGCCCCAUGAGCCCGUUGACUGGUCGGCCCCAUCGAUCAAUUUCUGGGAAAAACUGAGCCGUGGGCCCCGGUGCUGCUGGGAGACAUCUCCCGGGAUAUUUCCACCCCAACGUCACCGUCGUUUCCUAAUUCUCC
This 5826-nucleotide long non-coding RNA is filed under the name Spirodela polyrhiza (greater duckweed). Its description in RNAcentral is "long non-coding RNA (SPOL_LNC001062)". The record is from RNAcentral. Lineage: Eukaryota; Viridiplantae; Streptophyta; Magnoliopsida; Alismatales; Araceae.